GUAGUCUGCCAUACGCAGGAAGACCCGCUGAACUGAAGCAUCUCAUUAAGCGGAGGAAAAGAAACUAACUAGGAUUCCCUUAGUAAAGGCGAUCGAAAAGGGAACAGCCCAACGUCUUAAUCCCGCAAGGGAAAUGUAGUCGGUUCACCUAUUGCACUGGUCUAAGUCAGAUGGAAUGCUGCGCGAUUCAGAGUAAAAGCCUCGUAUGACCAACCGCAAGCUUACGAUGGACCGGGGAGAGUCGGAUACUUUGAGAGUAGUGUCUUAAGGGGGUGGUAUGUCCCAUCCAAGGCUAAAUAACGUGAGGAGACCGAUAGAUUACAAGUAGUGUGAACGAAAGAUGAAAAGAACUCUAAAACAGAGGGUGAAAAGUUCCUGAACUUGCUUAGGGUUAAGGCUAUUUAUAGUACCCGUCUUGAAACACGGAUUAGGGAGUUUAUCUGUAGUGCGAGUCUUUGCACGUUAACUGUAAAGGCGUAGAGAAAGCAACUGGCGUUUGCAUGGCUACUGAGCAUUACUGAUAGGACCCGAAAGGUGGUGAACUUUGCCUGCACAGGUUGAAGUCAGGGGAAACUCUGAUGGAGGACCGUACGGGUUAUUGAUGUGCAAAUCAUUUUUCUGAUGUAGGUAAAGGUGCGAAAGACUCAUCGAACCACCUAAUAGCUGGUUUCCUCCGAAGUUUCCCUCAGGAUAGCUGUAAUGCAUUUAGUUAAGGGGAGUAGAGAUAUGGGGUAGAGGUGCAGGGAGCCUUCGGGUUCUCAACUUAUUUCCAAACUUCGAACCUCCUUUGUAGGCAUUUACCUAACUGGAAAUGCUUAA
This is a non-coding RNA of Trichomonas vaginalis G3, 819 nucleotides long. NCBI's taxonomy places the organism in Eukaryota, Parabasalia, Trichomonadida, Trichomonadidae. The record is from Rfam.